GACGAACCGAGCGAACGUUGUUCGGAAUCACUGGGCUUAAAGGGCGCGUAGGCGGGUCUGCCAGUCUGUGGUGAAAUCCUCCGGCUCAACCGGAGAACUGCCUCGGAUACUGCGGGUCUCGAGGGUGAUAGGGGUAUGCGGAACUAUCGGUGGAGCGGUGAAAUGCGUUGAUAUCGAUAGGAACUCCGGUGGCGAAGGCGGCAUACUGGAUCACUUCUGACGCUGAGGCGCGAAAGCCAGGGGAGCAAACGGG
RNAcentral lists this ribosomal RNA (253 nucleotides) under uncultured bacterium. Its description in RNAcentral is "partial 16S ribosomal RNA". It matches the Rfam family "Bacterial small subunit ribosomal RNA", at positions 524 to 776 of the family's 1533-position model. The record is from RNAcentral. RNAcentral also lists the same sequence under 1 other name.